UUUCUUUGUAGCAUAACUGCUGUCUGAACUCACGUCAGUGUAAUAUCACUUUGAGUGCUGCCCAGCUCGCCUUCGGGUUCCGUACUUGCCACAGGAAGACAUCAUCAGAGAGUGAAAUGGUGCAGGGAACGAGUCAGUUUGAACCUAUCCUCAUGAACAGCUCAGGAAAGGAUAUUGCCUCAAGGAAGGCAAGCUAUGAAGCUGUGCAGAAGCAGGCACAGCAGAGCAGGACCACAACACCAGGAAGCAGCAAACCACAGACAAACCAGGCAUCAAAUCCAUGGGGUCCUGUUUUUAAGAACAAAUCACAUUUUGUUGACAUGCACAUCUGUUAAAAUCAUAUGUAUUAUCAGAAAAAACUUUCAAAAUAACUACAAUGUUAAAUAGCUAA
Molecule: long non-coding RNA, 391 nt
Organism: Schistocerca nitens (vagrant locust)
Lineage: Eukaryota; Metazoa; Arthropoda; Insecta; Orthoptera; Acrididae
Exons: 2
Source: RefSeq, a predicted model, not a curated record